UUUUGGUAAUCCCAAAAAAUAUCGCUUAUCCCGUCCCGUUCCAUCCCGGUCCGUUCCGGUUCCAUCCCAAUAUAUAGUGAAACAAGACGGAACCGAUUAUUUAUUCCGAUAAUUCCUGUCAGAUUCAUUCCGAUACCGGUCAACAGGUUCCGUUCCAAUCCGAUACCAAUUUGUUCCGGUCCAAUGAACCGAUUCCGGUCCGUUGACCAGUCUUACGGCUAUCAUUUGUUGUAGCGAAAAGCUUUGUGAAUAGUACUUCAAAAUUAUAAGCAAACCACGUGUACUGAAUUUGUGGUCAUUUAAGGGGUACUUCUGAUUUUAUUUUUUGGAUUUGAUUUUAGGUCUUAUUUUGUCUACUUAUUAUUCGAAUGGUUUGUUUUUUUGGUUCAAUUUGCUGAUCUAUUCGGUCUUUGUGUGUGUUGCAUGCACUGAAUUUAAAUUUAAUUUGGUGUUGUUUUGAUCCAUCAAAUGUAGAAACUUCAUAUUCAAAAAUAUCUCCAUUUCUCAUAGGGAAUGUUCGACAAAGAAAAUGACGAGUGUUGCAUGCCUUGAAGGAAGUUGGCAGGAUCUAUCCUUUUUGCUGUUUUUGGGCUAGAUUCUGAACUAUCUUCAUGACUUCUCCCUGUUUUUCUCACUUUUUCAAAGUAUCAAAUUUCCUGUUAAUGGAUAUCUGAUGGUAGUUUAUGGCUUGAGAGCCUAAGACUUUUAAUUGGUCUCUAAUUUCACUAAUGUAAUCGCUAGGUAGUAAUUUACAGAAAUGCAUAUACACUUCAAUCAUCUUAAAAGUCUUAAACUAUUACUUGAACAAGUUGGUAAAAUUUGUUCUAAACACUGAAGCUAAAAUUAUAGGGAUGAUCGAAAUCAUAUAUUAGAUGUCAUAGAUUCUAACUUAAAAGGUCACAAUUGUUUCACUAUUACAUGGUAUUCAAUAGUGUUUGUCUAAGCUGAAAAUACAUCUAUUUACAUGUAACAAUAGUUCACCUUUUCGGUCUCGCUGUCCGCGUUUCAAUUUAUUUAUCCUAUUUUGACUUGGCACAAAGUUCAACAAAAUAUAAAAGAAUUUUGAAUCUUGUCGUCUAAUUAAAAGUUAUGUCAAUUGGACCAAAAUGUACUCUAAUCUUGUGGUUUUAAGUAAAAAAUUGAAAUUGAAGAGUUGCUUAACAAAGGAAAGAGACAUUCUUUUUGGACUAAAAGGAAAGUAAGACAAAUAAAUUGUACCGGAUGGAGCAGUUUUUUUUUUGUAAGUAUAUGUAUUAAUAAUUGCUAUGAUAUUUAUUUGAAGGUAAAAGAGGCAUAAAGCAUAGGGGGAAUUUUAUAAACUUGCUCUAAUUUAGAGAUGAAUCAUAACUUUGGUUAUUUUGAUGAGUAUCAAUAGGCCUAAGGAUUGAAAGAAUGAAUUUAUAAAAUGAUGAUGAUGAUAGUCGAGAUAAUUUUUUUUUGGAUAUCUGAGUGCUUUUUAAGGAAGAGGAAGAAAUUAUUGUGAUAAAAUUUGACAUGCUAUUUCUAAUCUGUGGAAACGUGGUAACCCAAAAAGAGGAAAAAAAUGUAACUCUUCAAAAGCUUGAAUCUUUAAGCAUAUUCUUGGCAACUUUUCUAAUUGACCCAAUUAACUCCUGAAAUGUUCCAAUUGUUGAAAAUAUAAAUGAGGGAAGAAAAGGUAAAAAGAAAAAUUACUAUCAUCUAAGUCCGGAAUUGUUGUGUAAGAUCGGUGAAGUUUCCAUGUUGUUUGUCCUCUGAGGAAGUUCUACCCUCAAGUUUCCGGGUUAGGUUCAUGUUCCCUAGAACAGAAAGACAUAAUUGGAUAUAGUUGGUCAUUUAUGUGUUCUAUGGUGAUACAAAUCUUACAUUUAAUAUGUUUUUAUUCACCUUGAUUCAGUAUUUUCACAUUGAUAGGUGAUAUGAUAUGCUCUGCUUUUAAUUCUACAAAUCAUUCAUCCAUAAUUGUAUUUAAAGUCAUUUAAAUUUUCAUGGAGUUGAUGUGAAAAAUGUAGUAGCAUUAACAUAGAGGAAAGAAUAUGUUGAUGAAAACACCUCUGGAGUAUGUAGUUUUCUUAAGCAUCUCCCCGAUACAUUUGUGUUUUCUAAGACAUUUAUUAUAUUUUGUUUGAAGCCUUCUUUGGCAAUGCCAACAUAAUUGCCUUAGAUUUCUUCGAUUAUUUGAUGUUUGUUUCUCCCCAUCUCUUCUCAAAUUGGAUACCUUCUAUCACAUGUUUCUAACAAAUGUAUUGGCUACAAGUUUCAUGGUUUAAUAGAACAUGAUGAAAUUUUUAUCAAGCCAUAUCAAAUCUUGAAUCACAGUGAUGGCAAUGAGGCACCCGGUCAAAAGCGAGAGAAACCCCAUCCCUCUCUUUCCUUUUUUCGCCCCCAUGUCGCCACACGGGGGGAACAUAGGGACGAUGAAAGCGAUGGAAUUCUUGAAGUAAGUGUAGACCUUUGAAAUUAUUUUUUUCUAGCAAUAUCUCGAAAUCUUUUCAGCUGCUCAACAUUAUAACUGGUGGUGUCACCUUAGGAACAGGAAAAAGAGUAGUUUGAUUGCUACACCCUUUACUGGUAAGUUUGCUACUUUAGUUCUUCUCCUUACCUGUAUAUUAUUAUGUAUAGACUGGACGACUAAAUUGACUCCCUGCCUAUUGGUUGGAAAUUUUCAAAGUACGAUAUUUAUUCCCUCUCCAUAUAAUAAGAUUCUUCAUUCAACUAUUUCAUGGAACAUAGUAGGUAUCAACAUAAUAUGAGACCUUUUAUUUUUUAAAAUCGUACGGAAAAGGAUUUCAAAUAUUGAUUCAGCUUUGAAUUUAUGAUUGUAUGCAUGACUUAACUACUAAGAAGGAAAAGAGGAUAUGGAAAUUUCUAGCUUUCCUAUUGAGUCAGGCAGUCGACUUUAGCGUGCAACAAGUCGAUUAAAUUUUCUACUGCUUUCAAAAGAAGAAAUAUUAUCCAAGAUAAUUUUUUUUGCUGCAAAGAUAAGUAUCUAUCAUGUACAAUUGGUGUUGCCAAUAUUCUUAUUAUGAUGAUUUAAUAGUUUUUACCUCUGUAGGAGUGAUGACACAUUUCUUGUACAAAUUUACAUACAACCUAUACUAUCGUUAAACUAAUUCAACUCCUUUUAAGCUUACAAUAAGAAGCUCUGCCGUGAGUAUACUUUUGCUACAAAUAUGAUUUUUAUUUUGUUUGGUGUUUAUUUUGUGCUCUUUGCAUAGUUUAUAUGUUCUAGGACCAAAUAGUAAAAGUUACACUUCUGAAGUUUAUACGUUGUAGGUGACAUUGUAAAAUUUUCUAGAUCUAUGUCAUGAUAGAGUAAGAAAUAAUAGUACAUGAAUGAUUAUGAGAUGAUGGAAGCAAAAAUUUAAUAGUAUGAUGCAUGAUAUGUGUAAUGUUUUAUGAUUUUGUAAUUUAUUGUUUUGCUUUUACAGGAAUUUCUCUGUUAUGUUAUUAUCAAGUCAUGACAUAUGAUUCAUUUAUGACAUUACAACAAAUUGAAUUUAUCAACUAGGACAGAAUGCAACUGACUCUUCUCGACAUCUGCCACUUCACUAGAUAUUUUUAACAAAAAAAGACAUCUGAUGAGAAAUUCAAGAAUAAUUGGCAUCUCCAUGUUUCCUUUUGAGAGUGAUUGUGUCACCUCACUUUAGUUUCAUGUUUCUUUGUUAGAGAAGAUCCAAUUAAUUAUUACCAGAUUAAAAUCUGAUUUGUAUGAGAAAAAAGGUGUAUGCCUUUGUACUUCUGCUACAAUUUCAUUUAUCAAUUUCCGCUUUUUGUUCAA
Long non-coding RNA from Solanum lycopersicum (tomato), 3760 nucleotides. RefSeq lists it as uncharacterized. NCBI's taxonomy places the organism in Eukaryota, Viridiplantae, Streptophyta, Magnoliopsida, Solanales, Solanaceae. The record is from RefSeq and is a predicted model, not a curated record.